Molecule: ribosomal RNA, 1045 nt
Filed under: Fonsecaea pedrosoi
Lineage: Eukaryota; Fungi; Ascomycota; Eurotiomycetes; Chaetothyriales; Herpotrichiellaceae
Description: SSU rRNA
Rfam family: Eukaryotic small subunit ribosomal RNA
Source: RNAcentral
UCUAAGUAUAGGCACUCAUACUGUGAAACUGCGAAUGGCUCAUUAAAUCAGUUAUCGUUUAUUUGAUAGUACCUUUACCUGGAUAACCGUGGUAAUUCUAGAGCUAAUACAUGCUAAAAACCCCAACUUCGGGAGGGGUGUAUUUAUUAGAUAAAAAACCAAUGCCCUCUGGGGCUCCUUGGUGAUUCAUAAUAACUUAACGAAUCGCAUGGCCUUGCGCCGGCGAUGGUUCAUUCAAAUUUCUGCCCUAUCAACUUUCGAUUGUAGGAUAGAGGCCUACAAUGGUCUUAACGGGUAACGGGGAAUUAGGGUUCGACUCCGGAGAGGGAGCCUGAGAAACGGCUACCACAUCCAAGGAAGGCAGCAGGCGCGCAAAUUACCCAAUGCUAAUUCAGCGAGGUAGUGACAAUAAAUACUGAUACGGGGCUCUUUCGGGUCUCGUAAUUGGAAUGAGUACAAUCUAAAUCCCUUAACGAGGAACAAUUGGAGGGCAAGUCUGGUGCCAGCAGCCGCGGUAAUUCCAGCUCCAAUAGCGUAUAUUAAAGUUGUUGCCGUUAAAAAGCUCGUAGUUGAACCUUGGACCUGGCUGAUCUGUCCUCCUAAUCGAGCGCACGGAUUCGGUCGGGUCUUUCCUUCUGGGGAGCCCCAUGCCCUUCACUGGGUGUGGUGGGGAACCAGGACUUUUACCUUGAAAAAAUUAGAGUGUUCAAAGCAGGCCUUUGCUCGAAUACAUUAGCAUGGAAUAAUAGAAUAGGACAUCGGUUCUAUUUUGUUGGUUUCUAGGACCGCUGUAAUGAUUAAUAGGGAUAGUCGGGGGCGUCAGUAUUCAAUUGUCAGAGGUGAAAUUCUUGGAUUUAUUGAAGACUAACUACUGCGAAAGCAUUCGCCAAGGAUGUUUUCAUUAAUCAGUGAACGAAAGUUAGGGGAUCGAAGACGAUCAGAUACCGUCGUAGUCUUAACCAUAAACUAUGCCGACUAGGGAUCGGACGGUGGUUUUUUUAUGCCCCGUUCGGCACCUUACGAGAAAUCAAAGUUUUUGGGCUCG